CAAACGGGCAGGCUCACAGCUGCAGACAGCUCGGACCUGUUUGCUGGGGAAUCUCCACUUGUCGGGUGCAGAUUAGAAAUGAUUUCAUUUUCCCAGCAGGAGCAGUACCGGGGGAACCAACCUGCCCGCCAAUGGAUGGACGGUUCACCUGGGUGGCUCCCCGGGCACAGGGCCCCACAGUUGGUUGAAUAUUCUGCGGCACUGUCUUGAAAUCCUUAAUAAUUGCUGAACAAGG
Long non-coding RNA from Manis pentadactyla (Chinese pangolin), 235 nucleotides. RefSeq lists it as uncharacterized. The transcript is spliced from 2 exons. Lineage: Eukaryota; Metazoa; Chordata; Mammalia; Pholidota; Manidae. The record is from RefSeq and is a predicted model, not a curated record.